This 609-nucleotide ribosomal RNA is filed under the name fungal sp. MG213C1R9x. RNAcentral's name for it is "eukaryotic LSU rRNA". The stretch from base 235 to 388 matches the Rfam family "5.8S ribosomal RNA". The record is from RNAcentral. Lineage: Eukaryota; Fungi.
CUUGGGUCAUUUAGAGGAAGUAAAAGUCGUAACAAGGUCUCCGUAGGUGAACCUGCGGAGGGAUCAUUACACAAAUAUGAAGGCGGGCUGGAACCUCUCGGGGUUACAGCCUUGCUGAAUUAUUCACCCUUGUCUUUUGCGUACUUCUUGUUUCCUUGGUGGGUUCGCCCACCACUAGGACAAACAUAAACCUUUUGUAAUUGCAAUCAGCGUCAGUAACAAAUUAAUAAUUACAACUUUCAACAACGGAUCUCUUGGUUCUGGCAUCGAUGAAGAACGCAGCGAAAUGCGAUAAGUAGUGUGAAUUGCAGAAUUCAGUGAAUCAUCGAAUCUUUGAACGCACAUUGCGCCCUUUGGUAUUCCAAAGGGCAUGCCUGUUCGAGCGUCAUUUGUACCCUCAAGCUUUGCUUGGUGUUGGGCGUCUUGUCUCUAGCUUUGCUGGAGACUCGCCUUAAAGUAAUUGGCAGCCGGCCUACUGGUUUCGGAGCGCAGCACAAGUCGCACUCUCUAUCAGCAAAGGUCUAGCAUCCAUUAAGCCUUUUUUUCAACUUUUGACCUCGGAUCAGGUAGGGAUACCCGCUGAACUUAAGCAUAUCAAUAAGCGGAGGA